CGAAUGCUGACAUAAGUAACGAUAAAGCGGGUGAAAAGCCCGCUCGCCGGAAGACCAAGGGUUCCUGUCCAACGUUAAUCGGGGCAGGGUGAGUCGACCCCUAAGGCGAGGCCGAAAGGCGUAGUCGAUGGGAAACAGGUUAAUAUUCCUGUACUUGGUGUUACUGCGAAGGGGGGACGGAGAAGGCUAUGUUGGCCGGGCGACGGUUGUCCCGGUUUAAGCGUGUAGGCUGGUUUUCCAGGCAAAUCCGGAAAAUCAAGGCUGAGGCGUGAUGACGAGGCACUACGGUGCUGAAGCAACAAAUGCCCUGCUUCCAGGAAAAGCCUCUAAGCAUCAGGUAACAUCAAAUCGUACCCCAAACCGACACAGGUGGUCAGGUAGAGAAUACCAAGGCGCUUGAGAGAACUCGGGUGAAGGAACUAGGCAAAAUGGUGCCGUAACUUCGGGAGAAGGCACGCUGAUAUGUAGGUGAAGCGACUUGCUCGUGGAGCUGAAAUCAGUCGAAGAUACCAGCUGGCUGCAACUGUUUAUUAAAAACACAGCACUGUGCAAACACGAAAGUGGACGUAUACGGUGUGACGCCUGCCCGGUGCCGGAAGGUUAAUUGAUGGGGUUAGCGCAAGCGAAGCUCUUGAUCGAAGCCCCGGUAAACGGCGGCCGUAACUAUAACGGUCCUAAGGUAGCGAAAUUCCUUGUCGGGUAAGUUCCGACCUGCACGAAUGGCGUAAUGAUGGCCAGGCUGUCUCCACCCGAGACUCAGUGAAAUUGAACUCGCUGUGAAGAUGCAGUGUACCCGCGGCAAGACGGAAAGACCCCGUGAACCUUUACUAUAGCUUGACACUGAACAUUGAGCCUUGAUGUGUAGGAUAGGUGGGAGGCUUUGAAGUGUGGACGCCAGUCUGCAUGGAGCCGACCUUGAAAUACCACCCUUUAAUGUUUGAUGUUCUAACGUGGACCCGUGAUCCGGGUUGCGGACAGUGUCUGGUGGGUAGUUUGACUGGGGCGGUCUCCUCCUAAAGAGUAACGGAGGAGCACGAAGGUUGGCUAAUCCUGGUCGGACAUCAGGAGGUUAGUGCAAUGGCAUAAGCCAGCUUGACUGCGAGCGUGACGGCGCGAGCAGGUGCGAAAGCAGGUCAUAGUGAUCCGGUGGUUCUGAAUGGAAGGGCCAUCGCUCAACGGAUAAAAGGUACUCCGGGGAUAACAGGCUGAUACCGCCCAAGAGUUCAUAUCGACGGCGGUGUUUGGCACCUCGAUGUCGGCUCAUCACAUCCUGGGGCUGAAGUAGGUCCCAAGGGUAUGGCUGUUCGCCAUUUAAAGUGGUACGCGAGCUGGGUUUAGAACGUCGUGAGACAGUUCGGUCCCUAUCUGCCGUGGGCGCUGGAGAACUGAGGGGGGCUGCUCCUAGUACGAGAGGACCGGAGUGGACGCAUCACUGGUGUUCGGGUUGUCAUGCCAAUGGCACUGCCCGGUAGCUAAAUGCGGAAGAGAUAAGUGCUGAAAGCAUCUAAGCACGAAACUUGCCCCGAGAUGAGUUCUCCCUGACUCCUUGAGAGUCCUGAAGGAACGUUGAAGACGACGACGUUGAUAGGCCGGGUGUGUAAGCGCAGCGAUGCGUUGAGCUAACCGGUACUAAUGAACCGUGAGGCUUAACCUU
This 1654-nucleotide ribosomal RNA is filed under the name Escherichia coli. RNAcentral's name for it is "partial 23S ribosomal RNA". It matches the Rfam family "Bacterial large subunit ribosomal RNA", at positions 1291 to 2925 of the family's 2925-position model. Lineage: Bacteria; Pseudomonadati; Pseudomonadota; Gammaproteobacteria; Enterobacterales; Enterobacteriaceae. The record is from RNAcentral.